UGCCAGUUCUCUAAUGGUAUCUCCAGGGGCUGAGCCUAGAAACAACUAGUUGAAGAAGACAGACUGAGCACCCAUACUCUUUUGAGUCCUCCAGGAUGUUGGCAGUAGAGGAAUUUAAAUGGAUUUGAAUGGGCAAAGGACAAUUCAUAGACCAGCAAAGUAUCAUAGAGUGUUUCAAUUGAAGUUUGAGAGAUAAUCUUAUCCAGGCUUCUGCCUUCAUUCCAGAUAAACAAAAAUCUCUCCCCUUGAAGAUUUUCUAGCCUAUAACACGGAGGCUACAUCGGGGCAGUGGAGGCUCAGCAUAAGUUCUCCAAGAUCCCAUUUCCUUUCAUUCUCCUGGUGGGAAUGAAUGAACACACCGGAGAGACCCUCACUUCUACUUCCCUCAAUUAUGUGCUUCAUCGAGCACACAGCGGUGGACAUGUCAGCAGAACUCUGCAAGCAGGGAAAUCACAGAAUAGAAGAAGAAAAAAUUAAAAGACAUCAUUGGAACUUACAGAAGAAGGGCCAUGUGAAGACACAAAGAGAAGAUUGCCAUGUACAAACCAAGGAGACAGGACUCUGAAGAAACCAAAACUGCCAAUGACUUGAUCUUGGGCUUCUAGCCUUCAGAACCGUGAUAAAUAUUUUUGUUUAAGCCAGAAAUAAAAAGACAUAAUUGAUUUUUUUAAAAAGCCA
This 678-nucleotide long non-coding RNA is filed under the name Felis catus (domestic cat). RNAcentral describes it as "lncRNA (ENSFCAG00000049635.1)". The record is from RNAcentral. Lineage: Eukaryota; Metazoa; Chordata; Mammalia; Carnivora; Felidae.